UCUGGCCUCCACCUCCUCCUCCUCCCAGCUCUGCCGCUGCCGCCGCCGCCGCCGCCGCCGGAAAAGGCGCCGAAGAAACCGCCUCACUUCCCCUCCCGAUCACGCAGGCGCAACAAGGCCGACCGUUCAACGAGAGCGACCUCUGACCCGUCCACGUUACUUAAAAGUAACAGUGUUACCAAGAGUUCCCGUGCCUUGGCGCAUUUUCAGCUUUUUAAGCAUAGUAUUCUGCAUUUGAUCUGCCUUACUUCCUGACUUGCUGGUAAGGGAUUCAGCUUCUCAAGGAGAUCUUUCUAAUGGCCAAGUUGGUGGUGAAAGCAAAGAUGAAAGAACUUUCCAUGUUACAGGACCCAGAGAAAAAAUUAAUCGUCCAAAUCUCAAGAAAAGGUGAAUCAAGGUUAGCCCACAGGGGCUUGUCUCUGAAAUGCAAAUAACCUAAACUGAGGAAAAUCCUGCCGCCUGCAAGUGAUCCUCCUGUGGUCAGCAGCGGCGAACCGGCAGCCUGUCAAAGGGCAGGGACAGGUGAGCUUUUGGGGGGAUGAUGCAGCCCAGUACCGGACCGCCAGAUCCUGGGACCCAGGUGGUAGUGAGCACUUUGUCCGCCUCGCCCCCUGGCGGCCGCCCUCGCUUCCCCUGCGGGCCCAGCCUCUCGCUCUCUGGGUAACCCCGCCUCUCGCCUCCUCUCCCCCUCUCCCCCUUCGCCUCCAGCGUUCCCAACCACUUCAGGUCCCUGACCGCCCCCUUCUCCUCCCAGGGCAGUCUCGCCUCUCUCUUCCCUCUGGAGGCCCCACCUUUCCAUGAAGUGGCCUCGCCCCUCCCUCCCCUGGUGGCCCACCUUCGUUCCCGGAGGCCCCGCCUUCCCCCUCCCAGGUUCCUCUCCCGUUCAGCAGCCCGGGAGUAAACUUGAGCGAUCCUGGCUGGCAAUCGUACCCAAGGUGCACCAGUUUUUUUUCUCUGUGACCUCUGAGCCUGCUUUUCUUCUGCCACAGGGAGCCUCCUCCUCGGGUGUUCUCUCGGGCCUAGCAACUGAGGCCUCUUUGGCCCUGGCCAGCCUCAGCCUUGUCGGGUAUUCUUGCCUGAUGGCUGCUGAGGACGUAAGCUCGGACCUCGCUUGCCCUAAAGCCCUUUCUCCCGACCUGGGCAGAAAGCCUCUUCGUCUGACUCCACGCUCUUCGUCGUUUAGUGUCCCAGAAGGAUUAAUGUAUAAAAGUUUUGAGCUCCAUGGAGUGGAUUUUUGUGGACGUAUGGAGACAAACCAUUUGGGAUGAGUGCUAAUGUUUAAUAAGCACCUAAAAAUUAACUCAUUCAGGUUAUGUUUUGAAGAAGCAAAACCUCAAACAGCCAGACAAGACCUAGUUUGUUGAACUAUUUACAAGUAAACAACCUAGGGGUGCCUGCCUGACUCAGAUGGACGAACCUGUGACUCUUGAUCUCUGGGUGCUGAGUUGGAGCCCCACAUCGGGUGCAGAGAUUACUUAAAUAAAUAAAAGUUAACUUUAAAAAAACGUGCACAUAGGUUAAAACAACAAGGCACAACCUAGAUAAUAAAUGGUGGCCAGGAUGUGGAGAAAAGGGAACCCAUGUGCACUGUUGGUGGAAAUGUAAACUGGUUCAACCAUUAUGGAAAACAGUAUAGAAGUCCCUCAAGAAAUGAAAAAUAGAGCUACCAUGUGAUCCAGCAAUCCCACUUCUGGGUGUAUAUCCAAAGGAAGCCAUUAUCUGGAAGAGACACUUGUACUUCUGUGUUUACUGCAGCAUUAUUUACAAUACUGAAGGUAUGCAAACAACCUAAGUAUCCAUCAACGGAUUAAUGGAUUAAAGAAAAUGCUUAUCUAUAUAUACAUAAUGAUGGAAUAUUAUUCAGUCUUUAAAAACAAAGAAAUCUUGGGGCGCUUGGGUGGCUCAGUCGGUUAAGUGUCUGACUUUUGCUCUGGUCGUGAACUCACGGUUUGUGCGUUCGAGUCCCACGUCCGGCUCUGUGCUGACAGCUCAGAGCCUGGAGCCUGCUUCAGAUUCUGUGUCUCCCUCUCUCUCUCUGCCCUUCCCCAACUUGCACUCUGUCUGUCUCUCUCAAAAAUAAAUAAGCAUUAAAAAAGAGACAGGGGGAAGGAAAUCUUGUCAUUUGUGACAUGGAUAAAACUGGAGGGCAUAUGCUAAGUGAAAUAAGUUAGGCAGAAAAAGAAAAAUACUGCAUGGUAUCACUUAAAUGUGGAAUUUUUUUUUUUUAAUGUCAAGCUCAUAAAAACAAGAGUAGAAAAGUGGUUGAGCAGGGGUUGGGGAGGGAGGAAAUAGGGAGAAGUUGGUAAAAGGGUACAAACUUUCAGUUAUAAGAUGAAAAAAGUCUGAGGAUCUAAUGUAUAAUAUGGUGACUAUAACACUUUAACACUGUAUUGCAUAAUUGAAAUUUGCUAAGAGAGUAGAACUUAAAUGUUCUUACCAAAGGGGGAAGAAAGGAAAUAUGUGAGGUAAUGGUUGUAUUAACUUGAUGGAAGGAAUCCUUUUAAUAUAUAUAAUAUAUAUAUUCAUGUUGUGUGCUUUAAAUAGCUUACAAUUCUAUUUGUAAAUUACAUCUCAAUAAAGCUGGAAGAAAAAGUUACAAAACCUUAAAAAAAAAAGUAAACACCAAUUCAGGCUUGUGAAUACUUGACUUAACACUGGAUGUUAUACAUAUUACUAAUCUAUAAAACAAUGCAGGUAAAAUGUAUAGAAUGAUUGAAAACUGGUUAGUGUAAUUGACCGUCAUUAGAUUUAAAUCAUUAUAAGCUAUGCAUCAAAUUGAGAGUCUUAUACUGCCACUAAAAGUAUAUUGACAAAUGAGAAAAACAGAACAUAAAAGUUUUAUUUACAACAUAAUUAUAAUAAAAGUGGAUAUGAAUAUAGAGGUUGUAGGAGGGCACAGGACUCAAACUAGAAAACCAGACCCUUCUUACAGGAGGUUGAGGCUGAUUUGUCCAAUCAGGGUAAGCUGCAGAUGCCUAUAGCUCUUUUUGUUCCUGUCCUUUCUAAGUUCUGGUUAGUUAGGGUUGUCAUCUGUAAGCUUCCCUAUAUCCAUUAGAGUAUUGAGUAUGCUACAAUAAUAGGAGAUUGCCCCCCUCAAAUACAGUAAUUUAAAUGAGACAGAAGCUUAAUUCUCAUGUAACAGUCCAGAGGUAGAAGUGACCAAGGCUGGCAGGGUGGCUCAGCUCCAUUAGGUCGUUAAUGGACCCUGGUUUCUUUCCUCUUGAUGCUCUGCUAUAUACCCUAGGAUACUUUCUUUAUUUGCAUAAAGCUGGGGCACUGCUGUGGGUUUGCACUGGCGCCAUCUAGCUCUGGGGAAGGGCAAAAUAGCAGAAGUAGAGGACAAAAGAUUUAUUUGUAAGCAAAUGAUGCAGAGGCUGCAACUAUCACUUGCACACAUAUUCCAUUGGUGAGAACUUGAACACGUUUGGUUGUGGGAGAAACUGGGAAAUGUGGUUUCUGAUGUGGAGAACAGAGGCAAAAAAAAGUGUAGAUAAAAUUAAAUUUCCUUACAACUUGCAGCCCACUGACAAAUACUUAAGACAGACUGAGUAUGACAUUCCUCUAGGAACACCCAACUGUCUUAAUGUUAAUACUUUACUAGUGGCAAAGAGGAACCUUAGCUUGACAGAAGCUAGGCCUCCAGGAUCCUGUAAGUCUUAACAUAAUGAAAAUCCUUUUGGAAACUUUCUUUGUCUCUACUGCCCCAACAAACUUAAAAGUAUAUAACUGGUUGUUCCUCACAAUCCCAGUGCAGCUCUUUCGGCCCACAGGUUCUGUACCCAUGCUUUAAUAAAACCACCUUUUUUUGCACCAAAAAUGUCUCAACAAUUGUUUCUUGACCUUUCACUCUUGGACCUUACAUCAAAUCCCAUCAGUCUCUAAGUGGGGUUUCAUCUACCCAACUAAAUAUUAGUAAAAGGUGAGAACAGACAGGGAUAUUCUGCCACAUUUCCCCCAUUUCCUUUAAAUCAGUUCCUUCUUCAGAGGAGUUCCUUCACUUUGGUUUACACAUAACCCUUAUUGCUGGCAAUCGAAGUACCUUAACUGAUAGCUCAUUCUUCAGGUCUCAGUUUAAAUGACACUUUCUCAAGGAGGCUUACCUGACUACUUUCUCUAAAGUAUGUCCCUUCCCCAUUCUUGCCAUCAUUGCUUUUCUGUCAGCACUUUGUUUCCUGAAUGAUACUUAUCACAGCGUAUACACUGGGAUAA
Molecule: long non-coding RNA, 4209 nt
Organism: Acinonyx jubatus (cheetah)
Lineage: Eukaryota; Metazoa; Chordata; Mammalia; Carnivora; Felidae
Exons: 4
Source: RefSeq, a predicted model, not a curated record